GAUUUAGUUUAAUCACAAGCUCAAAGCAAACAUUCUACUGCGGUUGCUCGCUUUCAAUAGAAACGAAUGGACUUUUCAUCAAACAUAUUCAGUCAGGAAAAUGUUUUUAUGAUAAUGGUCAUGAUCCUGGAUUUUUUACUAAUUUGAGGUUUAAAGAGAAUUGUUUUCACUCGGGAGCUCAAUUUAAAUUUGUACAAUCUGGUUCAAUAUUAAAUCUAAACAAACCAGGUUGUCUUGAAGAAAACAAAGACAAGCAGAAGUUAUUUCGGACUCAUCCAAACUUCUUUAGACCAUCAAUGCUAUGACCCAAACCUUUUGGGGUGGUUUAAUCUAUUCACGCUAUAAUAAAAGUAUAGCAGCUCUAAGAGGUCUUUUGACGUGAGGACUGGGCAAUUGUAAAGAUGAAGAAGACGAACGAUUUUAUUUUACCAAGUUUGAAUUUUCAUCCAGUUAGCAUGUAUAUAAUUAAACUAUGAUCAGAAGCCACUGCAAGGCCAUGGCUAUAGAUAUGGUGCCAGUGAGAUCAGUGCCACCAGAAACUUCAUUUUUUUAAAUUCAACUUUUAUUUUACAGGUAAUUCAAGAUAAGCUUGUAUAGAUUUGAAUUUGCUUAUUUUUUUGUUUGUCUUCUAUACGCUUACACUGUUAUUUUUGGGGUGUUGAACUAGCACUUUCUCUAGUGCUAAACUGACACCCUAUCGGUGGUGUUAAAUAAAAGUGUUAUUAUAACACCAA
Molecule: long non-coding RNA, 734 nt
Organism: Xenia sp. Carnegie-2017
Lineage: Eukaryota; Metazoa; Cnidaria; Anthozoa; Malacalcyonacea; Xeniidae
Exons: 2
Source: RefSeq, a predicted model, not a curated record